AUUUAUAUAGUUUAAAAAAACAUUACACUUUCAUUGUAAAGUUGAGAUCUGUCUCUAUAAAUA
This 63-nucleotide transfer RNA is filed under the name Stylosomus rugithorax. Its description in RNAcentral is "tRNA-Glu". It matches the Rfam family "tRNA". From Rfam's summary of the family: Transfer RNA (tRNA) molecules are approximately 80 nucleotides in length. Lineage: Eukaryota; Metazoa; Arthropoda; Insecta; Coleoptera; Chrysomelidae. The record is from RNAcentral.